AGGGUUGUGGCUUAGUGGUAGAGCACUUGCCUUGCAAGCAUAAGCUCCUGGGUUCAAUCCUCAGCACCACAU
Molecule: transfer RNA, 72 nt
Filed under: Ictidomys tridecemlineatus (thirteen-lined ground squirrel)
Lineage: Eukaryota; Metazoa; Chordata; Mammalia; Rodentia; Sciuridae
Description: Spermophilus tridecemlineatus (thirteen-lined ground squirrel) tRNA
Rfam family: tRNA
About the family: Transfer RNA (tRNA) molecules are approximately 80 nucleotides in length. Their secondary structure includes four short double-helical elements and three loops (D, anti-codon, and T loops).
Source: Rfam by way of RNAcentral